This 253-nucleotide ribosomal RNA is filed under the name uncultured bacterium. RNAcentral describes it as "partial 16S ribosomal RNA". It matches the Rfam family "Bacterial small subunit ribosomal RNA", at positions 524 to 776 of the family's 1533-position model. The record is from RNAcentral.
UACAGAGGUGGCAAGCGUUGUUCGGAAUUACUGGGCGUAAAGGGCGCGUAGGCGGUCAGGUCAGUCCCGUGUGAAAUCCCUCGGCUCAACUGAGGAACUGCACGGGAAACUGCCUGGCUUGAGUUCGGGAGAGGGAUGCAGAAUUCCAGGUGUAGCGGUGAAAUGCGUAGAUAUCUGGAGGAAUACCGGUGGCGAAGGCGGCAUCCUGGACCGGCAUUGACGCUGAUGAGCGAAAGCCAGGGGAGCAGACGGG